This 72-nucleotide transfer RNA is filed under the name Podoviridae sp. ctwV53. RNAcentral's name for it is "tRNA-Arg". It matches the Rfam family "tRNA". From Rfam's summary of the family: Transfer RNA (tRNA) molecules are approximately 80 nucleotides in length. Their secondary structure includes four short double-helical elements and three loops (D, anti-codon, and T loops). Lineage: Duplodnaviria; Heunggongvirae; Uroviricota; Caudoviricetes. The record is from RNAcentral. RNAcentral also lists the same sequence under 1 other name.
ACAUCCUUCGUUCAAUGGAUAGGACAACGGACUUCUAAUCCGUCAAUACUGGUUCAACUCCAGUAGGGUGUA